Molecule: ribosomal RNA, 465 nt
Filed under: uncultured bacterium
Lineage: Bacteria
Description: bacterial SSU rRNA
Rfam family: Bacterial small subunit ribosomal RNA
Source: RNAcentral
CCUACGGGUUGCACCAGUGGGGAAUAUUGCACAAUGGGCGCAAGCCUGAUGCAGCCAUGCCGCGUGUAUGAAGAAGGCCUUCGGGUUGUAAAGUACUUUCAGCGGGGAGGAAGGGAGUAAAGUUAAUACCUUUGCUCAUUGACGUUACCCGCAGAAGAAGCACCGGCUAACUCCGUGCCAGCAGCCGCGGUAAUACGGAGGGUGCAAGCGUUAAUCGGAAUUACUGGGCGUAAAGCGCACGCAGGCGGUUUGUUAAGUCAGAUGUGAAAUCCCCGGGCUCAACCUGGGAACUGCAUCUGAUACUGGCAAGCUUGAGUCUCGUAGAGGGGGGUAGAAUUCCAGGUGUAGCGGUGAAAUUCGUAGAUAUUGGGAAGAACACCGGUGGCGAAAGCGGCAACCUGGCUCGAUACUGACGCUGAGGCGCGAAAGCGUGGGGAGCAAACAGGAUUAGAUACCCGGGUAGUC